Molecule: small nucleolar RNA, 107 nt
Organism: Capsicum annuum
Lineage: Eukaryota; Viridiplantae; Streptophyta; Magnoliopsida; Solanales; Solanaceae
Source: RefSeq, a predicted model, not a curated record
GGAUGAUGGCGAGGUCAAUUUUUGAGCAUACUCUUAAAUAUCUCUCAAGCUUGGUAGAGAUUCUUUCCUUCUUUCUGUCUGAAACUCAAGGUCUCACUCCUCAAGCG